CACCAUUUUAAAUGGCUGGAUAAUAAUCUCCAUUGUGGACAUCUAAGCACGUGUUGACUGUUCCUGUGGUUUUGGACACUGAAGGAUUCCACAGGAUGCGAUUCUGCAUUUAACCGGCCACGACGGGGCCAGGCUCUGCUCUGUUGUGUGGCUUCGUGGCUCCUUCUUCCCGGCUGGAUGCACAGAGGGGAAUGUCUAGGGGCCCAUGGAGGGUUCCUGUCACUGCCCUCUCAGCCUGGGCAGAGCACUGUGGCACCUCUUGUCACAUUUCUGGGUGAGCAGCUGGUCUGGGCUCUGUGUCCCAAGGAGAAGGUACCCCAGGGUAAGCAGAAUGGAGACUGGCCUCUGUUCUCAUGGUGUCCACCUGUGUGGCCUUCGGCAGGGGAUCUUCCCUUUGUCCAUGUCCUCCUCUGUGAGAUGCUGGGUAGGUUUCUCUUGUCCACCUCCCAAGGCUUUCCUGGGAGCAAAUGAGAAAGCUGUAUGUGAAAACGCUUUAAAAAGUGCUCGGAAAUCUGUCACCCCAUCCUCUUUCACCUCCAGUUCCUAUUCCAGAACAGUCCUUUACAACACAGAGAAUUAAGUGCUGAAGUCGGAAACAUUUUAGAUCAGCCUCAAAGGAUGCAGGAACUGUGGGGCCAGCUUCUAUGUAAAAGGCAUUUUUGAGUUUGUUUGGUGAGGUAUGACCCAAAAAGAGCACGGGGACCGACCCCCAGCAGGGACUCCUGCCCGUGGAUCUCUGCUCAAGCUGUUCCCUCAGUCUGGAGGGCCCUUCCCUCCAUAUCUGCCUGUGGAAGACUAGCUGCCUUCAGGACCCACCUUCCAAGAAGCUUUUCUGGGACCCUCCUCCAGUGGGAAUUAACCUUGUUCUCCGGCGCUGCACAUGGCUUGUGCCAUUCACCACUGACAGCUUUGCUUUGGGGCUCUUGUCGUCUUAGAGCCGUGCAGCUGCUUUCUUCAAUAUUUGGAUUGCCUAGACAGUGGUUGUCAGCCCUGACUGCACAUGAGACUCACGUGGGGAGCUCUAGACUCAUCUGGCCCCGUGGAAACCAGCAUCAGUGUUGUUUACAAGCUCCCCAGGUGAUGCUAAUGUGCAGCCUGGAGUGAGAGCCAUGGACCGAGACCUCUUCCCACUUCCUCCAUGGAAUUUUUCUUGCAGUCUGUUCUUGCAACCCACAGGCCCCCUUCCCUCACAACCCCAAAGGAAAGAUGAGUUUCCAUUAAGACAAGACCUUAGCUUUAACUUGAUGUCUUAAGCAGAUGGUGGCAGACCUAAUUCACAGUGUCAGCGGGGUCCUGAAUUUCUAUUCCAGCCCUUACGGCCAACUGGCAGCCUGGACCUGAGUGAGUGACAGAUGUCUCCUGAGCAGGACAGACAGACUUCGCAGAUUCCUUGAGGAUAGGAAUUAUGUCUUGUACUCAUUGCCCAACUGCAAGCCACCCACUCCUGGCAUUUUGGAACCGAUCCGUAAAUCACUG
RNAcentral lists this long non-coding RNA (1476 nucleotides) under Equus caballus (horse). RNAcentral's name for it is "lncRNA (ENSECAG00000055961.1)". The record is from RNAcentral. Lineage: Eukaryota; Metazoa; Chordata; Mammalia; Perissodactyla; Equidae.